Molecule: ribosomal RNA, 393 nt
Filed under: uncultured bacterium
Lineage: Bacteria
Description: bacterial SSU rRNA
Rfam family: Bacterial small subunit ribosomal RNA
Source: RNAcentral
UAAUACAGAGGGUGCGAGCGUUAAUCGGAAUUACUGGGCGUAAAGCGUGCGUAGACGGUUAUGUAAGUCGGAUGUGAAAGCCCCGGGCUCAACCUGGGAAUGGCAUUCGAGACUGCAUAGCUAGGAUGCGGAAGAGGGAAGCGGAAUUUCCGGUGUAGCGGUGAAAUGCGUAGAUAUCGGAAGGAACACCAGUGGCGAAAGCGGCUUCCUGGUCCAGCAUCGACGUUCAGGCACGAAAGCGUGGGGAGCAAACAGGAUUAGAUACCCUGGUAGUCCACGCCCUAAACGAUGUCAACUGGUUGUUGGGUCUUCACUGACUCAGUAACGAAGCUAACGCGUGAAGUUGACCGCCUGGGGAGUACGGUCGCAAGAUUAAAACUCAAAGAAUUACGG